AUGGCAGAUGGGCUCACACAGCUGCAGGACGUGAUGCAUUGGCUUGCAGAUAGGUUUUGGAAUGCCAUCGGAGUGCUGGAGCACUGUAGCCCUCCUGCUUCCUUUACUAAUAUUCAGACAGCAAUUAGCAAAGACCAGCCUGCUAAUCCUAAAAAAGAAUAUGUCCAGUUUUUUGCAGCAGUGAUUGCACGAACAGCAAAAGACACUGAUGUUUUGAUAGAUUCAUUCCCCAGUGAAGAAUCCACAGUGGCUUUACAGGCUGCUCGCCUGUAUAAGCUGGAAGAAGAAAACCAUGAAGCUGCUACGUGUCUGGAGGAUGUUGUUUAUGGAGGGGACAUGCUUCUAGAAAAGAUACAAAAUGCACUUGCUGAUAAUAUGCAGUCACAAUUGAAGACAAGGAGUGGUACCAUUAGCCAGUUUCUUCUAGACUCGUAG
Ailuropoda melanoleuca (giant panda) is the source of this 435-nucleotide non-coding RNA. NCBI's taxonomy places the organism in Eukaryota, Metazoa, Chordata, Mammalia, Carnivora, Ursidae. The record is from RefSeq and is a predicted model, not a curated record.